Vicia villosa (hairy vetch) is the source of this 1273-nucleotide long non-coding RNA. RefSeq lists it as uncharacterized. The transcript is spliced from 3 exons. The record is from RefSeq and is a predicted model, not a curated record. Lineage: Eukaryota; Viridiplantae; Streptophyta; Magnoliopsida; Fabales; Fabaceae.
CGAUUUCCACUGCUUUCUUGCAUAAGGUUUUCCAGGUAUUGAUAUUAAUGUUAUUUACUUGAUUCGAAAAACCCAGUGACAUGCUUUGUUAUUUGUCGACAUCUGUUUCACUGAAUGUUUUUUGUAUGGGUUUGUUGUUGUUUGUAGUGUUCCGGGGUUCGCAGAUUUUUUUUCUUUUUCAUCAGAAUAUUCGUUUUGAUGUUUGUUUUUUUAGGUUUUCUUUAUCUUUUGGUGUGAAGAUUUUGCUUACUUGGUUGUAUUUUUUCAGAUCCAUUUUUUUGCUUGCUCGGUUGUAUUUUUUCUGAUCCAGCUGAUGGAGCUACUGCUCUCGAAGGAUCUUUUAAUGUUGAUCUAUCGUUAUUUAAAAUGCCGCUUAUGCAAUAUAUAACUUGAAAUGCGGCUUUGUUUAUUUUGCGGAGCAAUCAAAUGCUAUGAAAGCACUAAAGAAUAAUGAAAGAUAUGAAUUAGAAGGGGUAUUCUAAGUUUUCCGGUCGAAUGUUAGAGUGUUCUCUAGCAAAUCCACGAGCUAAUCAGAAGGUUGUGGUAUCAAAUGUACAGAAUCAAGGAUUGCUUCCAAGUUAUCACCACAACUUGGUUAUGGUCUGAUAGGUAAUCCCUAUGGAGCACUUGGUGUCGGAUAUGGUGCUCCCGGUUUUGGACAGGUGAUCCGUGAUUUUAUGUUUUGAUUAUCCACCACAGCUUGUGUAUAACCUUGAAUAAGGGACUUCCAUGUCAUGUCCACAUGUUUCAGGCCUUGCAGGAAGCAUUAAAUCUAGAAAUCCCACUUGGAGUGUCUCUCCAAUCAGAUCAGCCAUCAUGACUGGUUAGAUUUUUCUUUUUGAUAUAAUAUGUAAUUCUUGAUAUGAUAAUAACUUAUCAACUCAUAUAUUUUGAAAAGCAGCAACUCAAUUUAUUAAUCUGAAGAGUUCUGCAGCAACUCUUAUAUUUUGGUAUACUCUUCUUCAAUUUUCUCACUUUUUGCAAGGAAAUGCGUUGCAACCCGUCGACGUCUCUCCUUGCAUCAUCAACACGAGAUUGAAACAUUUUAGUAUGGAUGCUGCAUGGUGAUGAAUUUCUAGCGGAUUGUGCAGGGUCGAUCUAAAGUGUUAAUUUACUGGCUUUUUGAAAUGUUUAAAGCGUUAAGUUACUGACUUUUUGAAAUGUACAUGUUCGUUUUAGUUUUUGUUUUGGCUUUUGUUUGGGCGAACCUAACUGAUGCGGUUUUUUCUGUUAGAAUAGUUGCUUCUUUUGUAAUGUAAUGGAAUUGUUAGUA